RNAcentral lists this ribosomal RNA (443 nucleotides) under uncultured bacterium. Its description in RNAcentral is "partial 16S ribosomal RNA". It matches the Rfam family "Bacterial small subunit ribosomal RNA", at positions 338 to 795 of the family's 1533-position model. The record is from RNAcentral.
CCUACGGGUGGCAGCAGUGGGGAAUAUUGGGCAAUGGGCGCAAGCCUGACCCAGCAACGCCGCGUGAAGGAAGAAGGCUUUCGGGUUGUAAACUUCUUUUGUCAGGGACGAAGCAAGUGACGGUACCUGACGAAUAAGCCACGGCUAACUACGUGCCAGCAGCCGCGGUAAUACGUAGGUGGCAAGCGUUAUCCGGAUGUAUUGGGUGUAAGGGGCGUGUAGGCGGGAAGGCAAGUCAGAGGUGAAAACGAUGGGCUCAACCCAUAGCCUGCAUUUGAAACUGUAUGUCUUGAGUGCUGGAGAGGCAAGCGGAAUGCGGGGGGUAGCGGGGAAAUGCGUAGAUAUACGGAGGAACACCAGUGGCGAAGGCGGCCUGCUGGACAAUAACUGACGCUGAGGCGCGAAAGCGUGGGGAGCAAACAGGAUUAGAUACCCUUGUAGUC